This 199-nucleotide long non-coding RNA is filed under the name Elaeis guineensis (African oil palm). RNAcentral describes it as "long non-coding RNA (EGUI_LNC035430)". Lineage: Eukaryota; Viridiplantae; Streptophyta; Magnoliopsida; Arecales; Arecaceae. The record is from RNAcentral.
AAUGAAAGAUAAGACAUGAAAUAAUUGUUGAAUAAAAGUGUUUCACCUGUUAACAUAUGAUGAUGCAUCUAUUUUAACAAGACAGAAAAUUUAUGGAUAUUUGCAUUAUUCUGGACAUUGAACAUCGGAUUUUAUAUUUUAUUGUUUAUCUUUAUUUUUAGAUUAUAUUAUUAUAUCAGUGUGAUAUGGGAAUUCUUAC